GACGCAGUUCCUUCUACUCGGAUCGUCCGGCACGUUCCUGCCGGUGGAAAGGAAGUCGUU
Actinoplanes utahensis is the source of this 60-nucleotide regulatory RNA element. It matches the Rfam family "msiK RNA". The record is from Rfam. Lineage: Bacteria; Bacillati; Actinomycetota; Actinomycetes; Micromonosporales; Micromonosporaceae.